GGUCCCGCCUGCCCUGUGACAAUACGUUUAACGGCCGCGGUAUUUUGACCGUGCGAAGGUAGCGCAAUCACUUGUCUCUUAAAUGGAGACCUGUAUGAAUGGCAUAACGAGGGCUUAACUGUCUCCUUUUUCCAGUCAAUGAAAUUGAUCUUCCCGUGCAGAAGCGGGAAUUUAUACAUAAGACGAGAAGACCCUAUGGAGCUUAAGAUACUAAGACAGAUCAUGUUAAAGACCCCUUACAAAGGAGCAAACUAAAUGACCCCCGUCCUAAUAUCUUUGGUUGGGGCGACCGCGGGGUAACAUAAAACCCCCAUGUGGAGCGGGGACACUAUUCCCCAAAUCCAAGGGCGACAGCCCUAAGCAACAGAACAUCUGACCAUCAAGAUCCGGCAAAGCCGAUCAACGAACCGAGUUACCCUAGGGAUAACAGCGCAAUCCCCUUCUAGAGCCCGUAUCGACAAGGGGGUUUACGACCUCGAUGUUGGAUCAGGACAUCCUAAUGGUGCAGCCGCUAUUAAGGGUUCGUUUGUUCAACGAUUAAAGUCCUACGUGAUC
This 555-nucleotide ribosomal RNA is filed under the name Cataetyx rubrirostris (rubynose brotula). Its description in RNAcentral is "partial 16S ribosomal RNA". It matches the Rfam family "Bacterial large subunit ribosomal RNA", at positions 1851 to 2605 of the family's 2925-position model. Lineage: Eukaryota; Metazoa; Chordata; Actinopteri; Ophidiiformes; Bythitidae. The record is from RNAcentral.